RNAcentral lists this ribosomal RNA (1395 nucleotides) under Nigrograna obliqua. RNAcentral's name for it is "bacterial SSU rRNA". It matches the Rfam family "Eukaryotic small subunit ribosomal RNA", at positions 40 to 1119 of the family's 1831-position model. Lineage: Eukaryota; Fungi; Ascomycota; Dothideomycetes; Pleosporales; Nigrogranaceae. The record is from RNAcentral.
CAGAUAGCAUGCCAUGUCUAAGUAUAAGCAAUUAUACCGUGAAACUGCGAAUGGCUCAUUAAAUCAGUUAUCGUUUAUUUGAUAGUACCUUACUACUUGGAUAACCGUGGUAAUUCUAGAGCUAAUACAUGCUAAAAACCCCAACUUCGGGAGGGGUGUAUUUAUUAGAUAAAAAACCAAUGCCCUUCGGGGCUCCUUGGUGAUUCAUAAUAACUUAACGGAUCGCAUGGCCUUGCGCCGGCGACGGUUCAUUCAAAUUUCUGCCCUAUCAACUUUCGAUGGUAAGGUAUUGGCUUACCAUGGUUUCAACGGGUAACGGGGAAUUAGGGUUCGAUUCCGGAGAGGGAGCCUGAGAAACGGCUACCACAUCCAAGGAAGGCAGCAGGCGCGCAAAUUACCCAAUCCCGACACGGGGAGGUAGUGACAAUAAAUACUGAUACAGGGCUCUUUUGGGUCUUGUAAUCGGAAUGAGUACAAUUUAAACCCCUUAACGAGGAACAAUUGGAGGGCAAGUCUGGUGAACGUUCAGUUCUUUUCUGCUGACGCCAGAGAUAGUCGGGUGCCUCUCGGGGCAUUAUGCCGGCUAGUCGAGCACCCACUGAUCUGAUGGGGGGGUGCCGGCAAGACAACCUGGAUCGGGGAAGGCUAAGGCGCAAGCUAAGCUGAUCCCGAGCAGAGCUAUCGUAGAGCGAUCUACGAGACAGCCUGUGUAGAGCACGGUAAGGUGUCGGCUAGCUCACGUAGCUAGCUUAAGGGACGUGCCAUUCCCACCCGAAAGGGUGGCCGCCAGCAAUAGCGCCCAUCUCGCGAAGGCUGGCGGGUCUGAAGCCUAUUCAGAUGUUCUUGAAGGCCAGCAGCCGCGGUAAUUCCAGCUCCAAUAGCGUAUAUUAAAGUUGUUGCAGUUAAAAAGCUCGUAGUUGAACCUUGGGCCUGGCUGGCCGGUCCGCCUCACCGCGUGUACUGGUCCGGCCGGGCCUUUCCUUCUGGAGAUCCUCAUGCCCUUCACUGGGUGUGUUGGGGAACCAGGACUUUUACUGUGAACAAAUUAGAGUGUUCAAAGCAGGCCUUUGCUCGAAUACAUUAGCAUGGAAUAAUAGAAUAGGACGUGCGGUCCUAUUUUGUUGGUUUCUAGGACCGCCGUAAUGAUUAAUAGGGAUAGUCGGGGGCAUCAGUAUUCAAUUGUCAGAGGUGAAAUUCUUGGAUUUAUUGAAGACUAACUACUGCGAAAGCAUUUGCCAAGGAUGUUUUCAUUAAUCAGUGAACGAAAGUUAGGGGAUCGAAGACGAUCAGAUACCGUCGUAGUCUUAACCGUAAACUAUGCCGACUAGGGAUCGGGCGAUGUUUCUAUCUUGACUCGCUCGGCACCUUACGAGAAAUCAAAGUUUUGGUCUGGGG